CCUACGGGAGGCAGCAGUGAGGAAUAUUGGUCAAUGGGCGCGAGCCUGAACCAGCCAAGUAGCGUGAAGGAUGAAGGCUCUAUGGGUUGUAAACUUCUUUUAUCGAGGAAUAAAGUGAGCCACGUGUGCCUUUUUGUAUGUACCUUAUGAAUAAGCAUCGGCUAACUCCGUGCCAGCCGCCGCGGUAAUACGGUGGAGCCGAGCGUUAUCCGGAUUUAUUGGGUUUAAAGGGGCCGUAGGUGGGUUGUUAAGUGAGUUGUGAAAGUUUGCGGCUCAACCGUACAAUUGCCGUUGAUACUGGCAGACUAGAGUGUGUUUGAGGUAGGCGGAAUGCGUGGUGUAGCGGUGAAAUGCAUAGAUAUCACGCAGAACUCCGAUUGCGAAGGCAGCUUACUAAACCGUAACUGACAUUGAUGCACGAAAGUGUGGGUAUCAAACAGGAUUAGAUACCCUUGUAGUC
RNAcentral lists this ribosomal RNA (460 nucleotides) under uncultured bacterium. RNAcentral's name for it is "partial 16S ribosomal RNA". It matches the Rfam family "Bacterial small subunit ribosomal RNA", at positions 338 to 795 of the family's 1533-position model. The record is from RNAcentral.